RNAcentral lists this ribosomal RNA (309 nucleotides) under uncultured bacterium. RNAcentral describes it as "partial 16S ribosomal RNA". It matches the Rfam family "Bacterial small subunit ribosomal RNA", at positions 504 to 808 of the family's 1533-position model. The record is from RNAcentral.
AGAGACAGCAGUAGCCGCGGGAAAACGUAGGUGGCAAGCGUUGUCCGGAAUUAUUGGGCGUAAAGGGCUCGCAGGCGGUUUCUUAAGUCUGAUGUGAAAGCCCCCGGCUCAACCGGGGAGGGUCAUUGGAAACUGGGAAACUUGAGUGCAGAAGAGGAGAGUGGAAUUCCACGUGUAGCGGUGAAAUGCGUAGAGAUGUGGAGGAACACCAGUGGCGAAGGCGACUCUCUGGUCUGUAACUGACGCUGAGGAGCGAAGCGUGGGGAGCGAACAGGAUUAGAGACCCCCGUAGUCCCUGUCUCUUAUACC